GUCUGCUGAUUUUUCCGGGGUGAUAUUAUGGAAUUGUGAUCUCAAAGGUGGCAGCCCAACAGGUUCAUCAAAUACAUCAGAAAAUUCAGUAAUAAUAGAGGUCAGAAUUUCUUCUUUAUUUUCAGUAUUUUCCUUCAUAUUCUGUUUUUCAGAGUUCACUUCCCCAAUAUAUUCAAAUCUGCAGAAAAAUACUCCAACAGUAGUUGCUGCUAGGGAAUUCAUUUCAUUUUUAGAUAGCUCAUCAUCAGAUAGGAUUGGUUCCCCCACCCAUUUAAUCCUUUCUCCUUUCCAAUUGAACUCAAUGUUCAUGUCGGUAUAAUUAGAUAGGACUGACUGAUCCUACAAUCUUGAACCAUUGGAUUCCUAAUACAAGGUUAGCCCCUUCCAUGUUCAGAACAAACAUAUCAAUUACCAAUGUCACUUGAACAGUCAUUUUUACCUGUUUACACAUCUUAUCGCACCUUAAUGACACCCCACUUCCUGUAGACACUAAGAAUGAAGGAAUAGGAGUGAUUGGUAGUCUUAAAUACCUUGCCACCUCCUCCUGAAGAAAAUUGUGAGUAGAGCCAAAAUCUAGCAAAACAGAUACUUUUAAAUUAUUAAUAUUAGCUGAUAAUUUCAGAGUUCUUGGACUGAGUUGGCCUUGUAGUGAGUGAUAACUUAUAUGAGUAUGUUCAGCCCUGAUUUCCUCAACAGCAACAACAAAUUGUUCUUCAACUUCAUUAGGCUCUAUAUAUUCAGCAAAGCACUCUCCAUCAGUUGAUAGGAUAAAUAGCCUUCAUUUGCCCUUGUGACCUCUUUCCCACUUCUCAGUGCAAUUAAAACACCUAUUCUUAUACCUUUUUAUUCUCAUUUCAGCAGGGGUGAGUUUCUGUCUCAACAUAGGUCCUUUUUUGUUUUCAGUGGGUGGUAGUGCUAAUACUUUUCUAUGUGGUGGUAUGUAGGGUUGUAAUGAGCCUAGCCGCCAGCUCAUUUCUUUCAUUUACGAGGGAAAAUUAUGCCGGCGGACUAGUGUAGCAACCUGCCGGCAUCCUGGCCGCUGGUCCUAUCUAUCGGCGGCUAGGGUGCCAGGAGGGAGCCGUCAGAACUACACUGUUUUUUUGUAGUGAUACCUCACUAGCUAUAGAGUUUGUUGUUGGGCAGUACCUUACAAUAUCAGUACUCAUGUCACUUCUUUCAUACAAUUAGGCCAGAGCAAAUGCCUCCACCAAAUUUUCAGGUCUAGCUUUAAUAACAUCUUUUUGAAUUUCAUUCUUUAAUCCUGACAUAAACAUCUCUUUCAUCACUCUGGGAUUAACAUCAAUAACUUUAUUAGAUAGAGCUUCAAAUUGAUGUUGAUAUUCCUUCACAGAGCCAGUUUGCUUAGCCUUCCCGCGGGUAUUUCAUAGGCUGAAGUACCAAAUCUUUUAACAAGAUCAUCCAGAAAAUCAGAUCAGGACUACUUUAGAGCAUUAUUAUUAUCUGCCCAUAGAAGCCAUUCCAGAGCUUCUCCUUCCAUGUUGAAUGUAGCCACUGUAAUUCUUUCUUCGUCUGGUAUGUUAUGAUACCUCAGAUAUUUUUUUAUCUUAUAAAUCCAGCCUUGGACAUUGUCACCAUCAAAUUUAGGCAUUUCUGUCCUAAUUGACUUGUAUUUCAUCUCUUGCUUCUGUUAUCCCUGGGGUUCUGUAUUAAUGAUGAUUAGUAGAGUUUCACUAAUCUUUGCUAGUGUUUGUUUCAUGCUUCUUAAUCUCUCAGCUUCGGUAUCUUGCUUUAUUUGGAGUCUUUUUAAUUGGACAUCCAUAUUUUCUGUCAUUUCCUCCAAUGAUGAUUGGAGAUCUGGAAUAUAAUUUUGUCACUGAAUAGAACAGUUUUAAAGAUAGGGAUUAAUAAAUACGUCCCUGAUCCGGAUCUCUUAAGCAGAGAACACGCUUUUGGAGAUUUUUUUUGUAGUUUUAUAGGUUUACAAAACCUUCUUCAGAUGUUCCCCAAUAAGAUCAAUGACCUGAAAUUUUUUUUUGUUCAAUAGUAGAAUUAAUAUUGAAUCAAAUAGUUGUAUACGUUCCUGAUUGGGAUCUCUUAAGCAGAGAACAUGCUUUUGAUUUGCUUUUUUUUUGUAUUUGCAGAUUUUUUUCUUUGUCUUCUGAAGAUCUUCAGAUGAUCGUCGGACUUUGAGCUAGACCCGGCCGGCAGGAGGGGUUGAAAGCACCAAUGAUGGAUUGAACUUGGCUGGUUAGAGAUUGGAAGAAAUGGCUGACAGCUGGAGCAAUAGAACAGUGCUAAAAC
This 2262-nucleotide long non-coding RNA is filed under the name Zostera marina. Its description in RNAcentral is "long non-coding RNA (ZMAR_LNC001474)". The record is from RNAcentral. Lineage: Eukaryota; Viridiplantae; Streptophyta; Magnoliopsida; Alismatales; Zosteraceae.